GCGGUACCGCGUGUGAUGACUUAAGGCGGUUUUAUUGGUGUAACCUGAACCUGUUGGUCUGCAUCAGGCAGAAACACGUGAUGGAAAAUAGGAUAAUCCAACCAAUUAGAAUCCUGCAAGAUAAAGGAAGUCUGUUAAACACGAAAGUAGAUUAAUCAUAUUGGUCGAUAUUGCAACAGCCUACGUUCACAAGAAACGAUGGAAGAACUUGGAAGGAUUCGCUCUAAAUUAGUCGACAUGUUGUUGGACCAAGAUGUCAUCAAUCUCCUGCGUUUCCUUUGGGAGAGGAAUGUGUUGAAUGAAGAGGAGAAGAAGACUGUAGAGGGGAAGAUGACCAGUAAAGACAGAGCAUGUUGUCUCAUUGAUACUGUGAUGGAGAAAGGGAAGAGAGAAAGUAGCCUGAUGGUGGAUUAUUUGACGGAGAGGCGCCCUGAACUAUGCUCAGCCCUGGGUCUGAACCCAACUUCUGCUCUGAUCAAACUUGGAAGGAUUCGCUCUAAAUUAGUCGACAAGUUUUUGAACUAUGAUGUCAUCAAUCUCCUGCGUUACCUUUGGGAGAUGAAUGUGUUGAAUGACGAGGAGAAGAAGACUGUAGAGGGGAAGACGACCAGCGAAGACAAAGCACAUUGUCUCAUUGACACAGUGAUGAAGAAAGGGGAGAGAGAAAGUAGCGUGAUGGUUGAUUAUCUGACAGAGAGGCCCCCUGCACUAUGGCCGACCCUGGGUCUGACCCCAACUUCUGCUCUGAUCAAACUUGGAAGCAUUCGCUCUAAAUUAGUCUACAUGUUGUCAGACCACGAUGUCAUCAAACUCCUGCGUUGCCUUUGGGAGAUGAAUGUGUUUAAUGACAAGCAGAAGAAGACUGUAGAGGGGAAGAUGACCCGAGAAGACAAAGCACGUUGUCUCAUUUAUACAGUGAUGGGGAAAGGGGUGACAGCAAGUAGCCUGAUGGUUGAUUAUCUGACGGAGAAACACCCUGAACUAUGCUUAACCCUGGGUCUGACCCCAACUUCUGCUCGGAUCAAACUUGAAAUUAUUCGCUCUAAAUUCGCCGACAUGUUGUCAUACAGCGAUUUCAUCAAUCUCCUGCAUUACCUUUGGGAGAAAAAUGUGUUGAAUGACGAGGAGAAGAAGACUGUAGAGGGGAAGACGACCAGAGAAGACAAAGCACGUUGUCUCAUUGAUACGGUGAUGGGAAAAGGAGCGACAGCAAGUAGGCUGACAGUUGAUUAUCUGACGAAGAGGCACCCUGAACUAUGCUCAACCCUGGAUCCGACCAGAAUUUCUGCUCAGAUCAGGUUUGGUGGGAAUCAGUCAUUCAGUAGCAGACAGGAGAGUCCUGGUCUGAUGUCCCCGUCUCUGCCCCUUGAAAUGCAUAAAGGCGACAGCGAGCUGGAACCUCUGAUGACGUCAGGCAGUAGCGGACAGGGGAGCUUGUCCAAGUCUGAGCUGUCCGGUCCUGUGGACUCUGAGUCCUCACUUCCAUUUGAAAAGCUUGGUAGCACACAGGAACUUGGAAGGAUUCGCUCUAAAUUAGUCGACAUGUUGUUGGACCAAGAUGUCAUCAAUCUCCUGCGUUACCUUAGGGAGAUGAAUGUGUUGAAUGACGAGGAGAAGGAGAUUGUAGAGGGGUGGAUGACAAGUGAAGGCAAAGCACGUUGUCUCAUUGAUACGGUGAUGAAGAAAGGGGCGAGAGAAAGUAGCGUGAUGGUUGAUUAUCUGACUGAGAGACCCCCUGAACUAUGGCCGACCCUGGGUCUGACCCCAACUUCUGCUCUGAUCAAACUUGGAAGGAUUCGCUCUAAAUUAGUCUACACGUUGUCAGACCACGAUGUUAUCAAUCUCCUGCGUUACCUUAGGGAGAUGAAUGAGUUUAAUGACGAGGAGAAGAAGACUGUAGAGGGGAAGACGACCAGAGAAGACAAAGCACGUUGUCUCAUUUAUGCAGUGCUGGGGAAAGGGGAGAGAGCAAGUAGCCUGAUGGUUGAUUAUCUGACGGCAAGGCAACCUGAACUAUGCUUAACCCUGGGUCUCACCCCGACUUCUGCUCGGAUCAAACUUGAAAGGAUUCGCUCUAAAUUAGUCGACGUGUUGUCGUACAACGAUUUCAUCUAUCUCCUGCAUAACCUUAGGAAGUUAAAUGUGUUGAAUGACGAGGAGAAGAAGACUGUAGAGGGGAAGACGACCAGAGAAGACAAAGCACGUUGUCUAAUUGAUACGGUAAAAGAGAAAGGGGGGAAAGCAAGUAGCCUGAUGGUUGAUUAUCUGACGGAGAAACACCCUGAACUAUGCUCAACCCUGGAUCCGACCAAAACUGCUCAGAUCAGGUUUGGUGGGGAUCCGUCAUUCAGUAGCAGACAGGAGAGUCCUGGUCUGAUGUCCCCGUCUCUGCCCCUCGAAAUGCAUGAAGGCGACAGCGAGCUGGGGGCAGCAGCUCAUGGAUCUGGAGCACAGGUUAACAAUAGCCAAGGAGCAGCUGGAGAAGACCACGCUGGACAAGAACCUCUGAUGACGUCAGGCAGUAGCGGACCGGGGAGGUUGUCCAGGCCUGAGCUGUCCGGCUCUGUGGACUCUGAGUCCUCACUUCCACUUGAAAAGCUUGGUAGCGCGCAGGAUAAAGUCUAUGAAACCCGCUCCCCAGGGCAGGAUCUGUCGGCUGAGCAGCUCCGGGAUGUUGCACAAACUCUGGGACGGAGGUGGGAGAAGGCGGCCCUCCACCUGGGGCUGACGAACGAAGAUCUGGACGACAUCAGGGAGGAAGAGAUGGCUGAGUUCAUGCAGAGACGGAAGAUGUUGCGACUGUGGAAGAGCCGAAGACCAGGAAAGGCCACAGCACAGGACCUCUUGAGGGGUCUGGAAGGGCUGAAGGUCCUACCGGCCAAGACUCGUCUGUUAUUGGAAGGGUUUGGUGGGAAUCCGUCAUUCAGUAGCGGACAGGAAAGCCAUCCUGGUCCGAUGUCACCGUCUAAAUCCCUCCCCAAAAUACCUUCCCACAAACCUCUGAUGACGUCAGGCAGCAGCGGACAGUGGAGCUUGUCCAAGUCUGAGCUGUCCGGCCCUGUGGACUCUGAGUCCUCACUUCCAUUUUCAAUGCCUGGUAGCACGCUGGCAGGUGAAAAAACCAAAAGGAAAAGCUGCAAUCGACCACCAGGAAAGGCCAAAGCAAAGGACCCGCUGAGAUGUGUGAAGGGCCUGGAGGACCUACCGGUCAAGACUCGUCAGUUUUUGAUAGGACUUCUAAAGAAUCAUUCUAAACCUGUUAAGAAGAAGCCGUCAUGCAGUAGCGGACAGGGUAGCCGUCCUGGUGAGCUGUCCUCGUCUCUGCCCCUCAAAACGCCUGCUAAUGACGGGAUGCUCGGGUUUGGUGGGAAUCUGUCAUUCAAUAGCGGACAGAAAGACCAUCCUGGUCCGACGUUCCCGUCUAUAUCCCUCCCCAAAAUACCUUCCCACACAGGUGAAAAAACCAAAAGGAAAAGCUGCAAUCGCUCACCAGGAAAGGCCAAAGCAAAGGACCCGCUGAGAGGUAUGAAGGGCCUGGAGGACCUACCGGUCGAGAUUCAACAGUUAUUGAAAGGACUUGUAAAGAAUCUAUCUAAACCUGUUAAGAAGAAGCCGUCAUGCAGUAAGGGACAGGGGAGCCUUCCUGGUGAGCGUUCCUCGUCUCUGCCCCUCAAAAUGCCUGCUAGUGACGGGAUGCUGGCAGGCGUAAAAACCGAAAGGAAAAGCUGCAAUCGCUCACCAGGAAAGGCCAAUGCAAAGGACCCACUGAGCAGUAUGAAGGGCAUUGAGGACAUACCGGUCGAGACUCAUCAGUUAUUGAAAGCAGGUGAAAAAACCAAAAGGAAAAGCUGCAAUCGCUCACCAGGAAAGGCCAAAGCAAAGGACCCGCUGAGAGGUAUGAAGGGCCUUGAGGACAUACCGGUCGAGACUCAACAGUUAUUGAAAGGACUUGUACAGAAUCUAUCUAAACCUGUUAAGAAGAAGCCUUCAUGCAGUAGCGGACAGGGGAGCCGUCCUGGUGAGCGUUCCUCGUCUCUGCCCCUCAAAAUGCCUGCUAGUGACGGGAUGCUGGGAAAUACAUCAGAGAAGACGGUGGUAAAGCCAAGGAAACCAAAAAGAGUGGAGCUUCGAAGGGUCCGUUGUGAAUUUGUGAAGACAGUUAAAAUCUCAGUUAUCAGAGGUCUCCUGGAUGACCUUUUGGAGCAGAAAGUGUUCAGUACUGAGGACAAAGACUCUGUCAUGGAGAACGAGAGGAGCAGAAAGGACCGAGCACGGUGUCUGAUCGAUAUGGUGAUCGGUAAAGGGGAGAAAGCAAGUCGGAUAAUGAUUGCUAGUAUGAAGAAGAAGUACUAUGACUUAUGCUCCACCCUGGGUCUUAUCUCUUCUCCUGCUGGUGUGGGACAUAUAGACGACAAGACGUUGGUAAAGCAAAGGAAACAAAACAAAGGAAAUGGUGGCCGGAAAAGAAAAGGAAGUAAAUCAGAAGAAGUGGCCCAUAAGAAACCUUGCACGGUUGAUGUGUCAGACAGCAUCACUGAAACCCACUCCACAGGACAGACUGACUGACAAGGAGCUCAUGAAUGUGGCCGAUACGCUGGGACAGGAGUGGGAGCCGGCUGCCAUCCACCUGGAGCUAACGACCAAAGAUUUGGAUGAAAUCAAGGCAGAACAUAGACCUGUGGCCAUGCAGAAGCUGAUGAUGUUGGUGCGGUGGAAGGGCCGAAGACCACCAGGAAAGGCAACAGCACAGGACCUGCUGAAUUGUCUGACUGACCUGAAGCACCUACCGGUCGAGACUCAUCAGUUAUUGACAGAAUUGAUGAAGUGCCAUAGUGAACUAGAUGGCUCCGUCCAAAGAAAACAGUGAAGAUAUGCAGAAUUACCUGAAACAGUGAAGCUGUCUGUGAAUGCAUCCUGGUCGUUGGGAUACGGCCAGAUGAUGACGACAGAAAGAUUAUUCAAAAGUGUAAGCAGCCGUAAGAGCUAGGCUCUUGUCGAGUCCAUCUUUACCGUAUAAACUGUUUAAAUGGCACAAUUGCUCAUGCAGCUUUGCUCCACCAGUGGUCAAGAUGCACAUACUCUGCCAAGGCAUUUUUGAAGCGUCAGCAUCAGUUGCGACCCUGUGCUGUGUUAAUGUAACCUGACUCGCGACCACAGAGGAAUUUCGCUCCAACUAGCUCCACUCAUCCAUCUGGGAUCGCUCCCAGAUUUGGGGACCAGAUUUAAUGGUCGAGCCAAUCAGGACUGUCGGGCGGGAUUUGUAUAUAUGUGACGUAGCGGACAAGGGACUGUUUUGAUUCAGACAACAAUGGCGGCUCGCAUCGAGGAGGCAAGCCUCAACAUUGAUGAUGCUAUUUCAUCAGUGUUGUUCAAUCUAGCGAAUAUUCUUUCUUUAAAAGAACAUCAGAGAACGCUCUGAUCAGCGUCACGGGUUGGUUUCGAUGUGAGUGGUUGAAGUAGCACGUCAAUAAAGAUGACGGACAAGUGGUUUAUCCAAUCAAGGAUUUUUGUUAUGGCCCAUCCUUCUAAAACACCGCUCCAAUGGAUUGAUCAUGCAUGGAUGAGUGGAGCUAGGUGGAAAAAAUUCAUCGGGCGAGAGUCAGGUUAGUGUUAUCGGCCACUUCCACAGAAAUUCAAAAUAUAGACCGAUUUAUUAAAUUCUGUACUUUUACAUUACAUUUAUUUAGCUGACACUUAAGUGCAAAGCAACUUACAGUAAUUGCAUUCCACAAUGGAAGAUGAAACCCAAAAAGCAGGAAUCAUGCAAGUACAUGAAAUGCAUUCAAUAAGGGAGCUUCUUUAAUUGCUAUAUUACAAAAAACAAGAGAUGAGUUUUCAGUCUGCAGUCUUUUUCCAAAAGUCUUGACCUUGUAAAGUAAUUAUUGAUAUCAUGUUUAGAAUAGAUCCUCCUUCCUCCGCUAGUACUAAGCUGUUCCCCUCAGGUACCUCCUAUAGACAGGUAUAGAGGUAUAGAUGGUUGUGAUCACUGAAACAACUUUUUUCUGAACAUUUGUGUUGACAUUGUGCCAAAGCAAGAUAAUGAUUAUUUAACAAUCCACUACGAUUGUGUCAGUUCAUUGUUUUUAUAUAUAUUAUGUUAACUUUCUGAGCCCGAGCCAGGAAGGUUCAGAUGUCUGUUUGGUGAAAAAUAAAAGUGGGAAAGGUGGGAAA
Molecule: RNA transcript, 6171 nt
Organism: Gadus morhua (Atlantic cod)
Lineage: Eukaryota; Metazoa; Chordata; Actinopteri; Gadiformes; Gadidae
Exons: 30
Source: RefSeq, a predicted model, not a curated record